RNAcentral lists this ribosomal RNA (465 nucleotides) under uncultured bacterium. RNAcentral describes it as "bacterial SSU rRNA". It matches the Rfam family "Bacterial small subunit ribosomal RNA", at positions 917 to 1382 of the family's 1533-position model. The record is from RNAcentral.
GGGCCCGCACAAGCGGCGGAGCAUGCGGAUUAAUUCGAUGCGACGCGAAGAACCUUACCUGGGUUUGACAUCACUCAUUUAAGCCGUAGAGAUGCGGUGUCCUUCGGGGUGGGUGACAGGUGGUGCAUGGCUGUCGUCAGCUCGUGUCGUGAGAUGUUGGGUUAAGUCCCGCAACGAGCGCAACCCUCGUUCCAUGUUGCCAGCGGGUGAUGCCGGGGACUCAUGGGAGACUGCCGGGGUCAACUCGGAGGAAGGUGGGGAUGACGUCAAGUCAUCAUGCCCCUUAUGUCCAGGGCUUCACGCAUGCUACAAUGGCCGGUACAAUGGGCUGCGAUACUGUGAGGUGGAGCGAAUCCCAAAAAGCCGGUCUCAGUUCGGAUCGGGGUCUGCAACUCGACCCCGUGAAGUCGGAGUCGCUAGUAAUCGCAGAUCAGCAACGCUGCGGUGAAUACGUUCCCGGGCCUU